UUCCUGUAGAAGGGAUGGUUAGGAUAAUAACCAGCAGAGCUUUCCAUAACCUUCGCUGGUUUACGUAUCAAGUUUCAUAGAAUGUCAGAGAGGAUCACCCACUUGUGUGUCAGCUGGUGCCACUCACGGGGUACGUUCUGGUUCGGUUGGUGCCUCUAGCAAGGCUGGGGAGCCCGCUGCCAUGCGGGUCUCUUGUUCUGUACGGCACUCAAACAGGCCUCAGAGAUGGAGAGUCUGCAUGGCUGGGAAAGGGCCUUCGAUCCUCCUUUAUCUUCUGCUUCCAGGCUGGGAAGGGGCCUUCGAUCCUCCUUUAUCUUCUGCUUCCAGGUACAUAGAAUCACCUGGCUUGUUGUGGGGAGAGAGAGGACCCUUUUUUCCAGCGUCUCUUAGCUCAUUUCUGAGAGGAAGAAUUAGUAUUCGGGUCAGAUUCCAGGACACAUAUCUAUCAGAGGGAGCUGAGGACAAUGGGCACAACACCUCAAAGAGAAGCCUCUACCCCAGCCUCGAGAGAGACCUCAGACCCUCAGCUGCAGCUGAAACAGGGCAAGCCACCUCCUGAGGAAGGAAGCCUUUGUAACACCCGUUAAGAAAUGAGGACGACUCUAAGGGGAGCUGGAGGACGGAUCACAGUCAGGGCUGAGCUCUCAGCAGUCUUCACCUGAACUGACCCAGGAUGUCAGAGAAUGGGGGAAGACUCCCGAGGAGGGAAGCUGUGGCUGGUUGGUGGUGUCACUCAUAACCCUGAUUCCCAGGGUCACCAAGGCCAACAAGUUGUCAAUGAAGCAGCAGUCUUUCCCAGGCUGUGCAGAGCCCCCGGCCACGUCUCCUCCUGUCCCCACAGGUGUUGGCCUCUCUGCUGGGCCCCAGAGGGGCCGAUGGGAAAGGAAGAAGAGGAUGACCUUAUUUCUAGAAACUCAUAUCAGUGCAGAAGAAAGUGGAGAGAGCACAUGGACUCCAGCAGAACCAGGGUGAGGUGCAGGGGACUGGAGUGGGCAGCAAGGGGCGUGAAGCUUAUUUUUCUGUUUUGAAAUAAAAAUAGUAUACUUAUGAAAAAUAAUAAACUACAGAAAAGCAUUAAGAUGGAAAAAAUAACUCAAUUGUUUAUUUGUUGGCAUAAAGACCAGUUUCUAAUGAGAUUUUUUCCUUAUUAUUUGUCUUUUCUUCCAAAGUUUCUGGCUGUUUAGCCACAAAGUUAUUACUUUAAAAUUUCUUUAUUAUAAAUCAGACUUUUUUUGAUGAAUUAAUAAAUGUUUAUCGCCUGCUGCCUGCAAGGUACAGAGAUAUCUGCAGUAGACACGUCAUGAAAAGAACAUUAUUCUACCAUGAUUAUGAUUUUCCAUUGUGUUUUUGCUUUAUAUAAUUUUAAAACUAAAUAUUAUCAGAUGCCUAAUUUCUAUCUUAUUUGUAUUUUGUCACUAUAAAUAUCCAAUUUUACUUGAAUUUUAUUUUAUUUACUAUUAAUUUUGCUUCAUCUGUGUUCUUUUUGUUAGCAUUUGCCAACUGUAUCUUUCAAUAUUCCAUUUUUAAAGAGUGUGUCUUUUGUAAAUACCACACAGCCGAAUCUUUUCUUAAACCCAAAUCAGAAAAUCUCUGUCUUUAAUCAGGAAAUUUAACCCCAUCUCAUUUAUUAUGAUGUUGAUAUGUUUAGACUAAUUAUUGCUUUUUUGUUGUCUUCCUGCAUUUUUUAUUGACGUG
This is a long non-coding RNA of Equus asinus (donkey), 1695 nucleotides long. NCBI's taxonomy places the organism in Eukaryota, Metazoa, Chordata, Mammalia, Perissodactyla, Equidae. The record is from Ensembl.